This 463-nucleotide ribosomal RNA is filed under the name uncultured bacterium. Its description in RNAcentral is "partial 16S ribosomal RNA". It matches the Rfam family "Bacterial small subunit ribosomal RNA", at positions 28 to 507 of the family's 1533-position model. The record is from RNAcentral.
GAUGAACGCUGACAGAAUGCUUAACACAUGCAAGUCUUUGGCGAAGCUGUGCUUGCACAGCCUAGCCAAGGCGGACGGGUGAGUAACGCGUAAGGAACUUGCCCUGCAGUCAGGGAUAACAGACGGAAACGACUGAUAAGACCUGGUAAAGUCAGGCGGACUCAUGUCCAGCCUGAUGAAAAGAGAUGCUGCAGGAGAGCCUUGCGUCCUAUUAGCUUGUUGGUGGGGUAACGGCCCACCAAGGCGAUGAUAGGUAGCCGGCCUGAGAGGGUGGACGGCCACAAGGGGACUAAGAUACGGCCCUUACUCCUACGGGAGGCAGCAGUGGGGAAUAUUGGACAAUGGGGGCAACCCUGAUCCAGCAAUUCUGUGUGCACGAUGAAGGUUUUCGGAUUGUAAAGUGCUUUCAGCAGGGAAGAAAAAAAUGACGGUACCUGCAGAAGAAGCGACGGCUAAAUACGUG